UGGGGAGUGGCGCAGUUGGUAGCGCAGCAGACUGUUAAUCUGUUGGUCGUCGGUUCGAGUCCGACCUUCCCAGCCA
This 76-nucleotide transfer RNA is filed under the name Bdellovibrionales bacterium. RNAcentral's name for it is "tRNA-Asn". It matches the Rfam family "tRNA". Rfam says of the family: Transfer RNA (tRNA) molecules are approximately 80 nucleotides in length. Their secondary structure includes four short double-helical elements and three loops (D, anti-codon, and T loops). Further hydrogen bonds mediate the characteristic L-shaped molecular structure. tRNAs have two regions of fundamental functional importance: the anti-codon, which is responsible for specific mRNA codon recognition, and the 3' end, to which the tRNAs corresponding amino acid is attached (by aminoacyl-tRNA synthetases). tRNAs cope with the degeneracy of the genetic code in two manners: having more than one tRNA (with a specific anti-codon) for a particular amino acid; and 'wobble' base-pairing, i.e. permitting non-standard base-pairing at the 3rd anti-codon position. Lineage: Bacteria; Pseudomonadati; Bdellovibrionota; Bdellovibrionia; Bdellovibrionales. The record is from RNAcentral.